AGGUUGUGUUAGGGGCUCGUGACGACGCUCACUGCUCAAGACGGAACACCCAUCAAUACAAGAGUAGACGCUAGAAGUGCUGCUUUUGUUCAGGUUAUAUGUGCCUGGGGAUCAGCGAUGGAGCACACCCGUGCUGAGAGGCGGCCCCUGCGGACGCGCUGAGCACUCACUGGCUUCGAGGGUGCCGCAGCUCGAGCGUACCGAUCGAUAGCCUGUUCUUUCCGCAUAGACAACACAGCUGAUCGGUGCUGAUGUUCGCGUGUCAGCUAUGAAGCGCUGAACGCGUUCAAGUUCCAGAUCACGUGGCAUGUUCGCGUGCAAGUCCACGACGAACAGCCGGUUGGUAACGCGUAGAGCGGCACCGCUGGUGCUCGGCGUCGCUUCGGACGGUACCGUGCUGGCCUCCGGUGAGCAGCCAACGUGACCGAAACAGGCAUCAAAGGAAACUUCGACGAACUAGCGUAUUGCCUGGACAUUCACCACAAUAGAAAGGCGUUUUACUACUAUUUGGCGAAGCAAACAUUUCAUCUUCUUCCUGUUUGCAACUUGUGUGAAUCGAGUCAGUACAUAAAGACAGCCCUACGUCGCAAUUCGAAGAUGCUGCGACUCAAAACAGCUGAGCGUGAUUGAAACGAUACUGCCGAGCAUGACCCAGUUCCUGGCCGUCACGCUGAUCAUCUGGUGUGGAUACAGCGUAUUCGCGUUCGGUGAGCGGUGAUUCCGGACCAGCAAUGAGUCAUCGAUGGCGACAAGCGUAUUCUGGUUAGCGUCGUCAAUGGUGCGUCACCAGGGGACCGAUCGAAAGCACCAGUGGAGAGCGCAUAACGAGCGCUAAUGUCCAUAUGCCCGUUCAGAGCUUCGCUCGUUGCUGUCUGGGAGCCAUGGUUAUGCCGAGGAUGCAGCCCCAGAACGGAACCGUGCAUCCUGGAUCGCACCUGAAAGUCUGUCCAGCGAGCGAGCAAGAUGUAGAAUGACGAUGCCAACAACGUCCUUGCAGAUGCCUCUGAAUGUGCACUCAAGAACGUGCUACGCUUGUUUCUAACGGAUUCUGCAGACAAAACACCAGCGGCGCCAUGGGGAGCACCGCUUAGGGCAUCGCCCGCGCUCCGAUGUGUUCCGCGAGUCUCACUUGUACCACUGUAGACGAGCGAAGCGCACUCUGUUCCUGAUCCAAAGCUUCGCAUCAAGCGUACACGCUCGUCCGGAGAUGACCAUACAUCUGAAACUUCGGGUUAGUGCUCACGUGGACUCCGAUGUGUUCCGCGAGUCUCACUUGUACCACUGUAGACGAGCGAAGCGCACUCUGUUCCUGAUCCAAAGCUUCGCAUCAAGCGUACACGCUCGUCCGGAGAUGACUAUGCAUCUGAAACUUCUGGUUAGUGCUCACGUGGACUCCGAUGUGUUCCGCGAGUCUCACUUGUACCACUGUAGACGAGCGAAGCGCACUCUGUUCCUGAUCCAAAGCUUCGCAUCAAGCGUACACGCUCGUCCGGAGAUGACCAUACAUCUGAAACUUCGGGUUAGUGCUCACGUGGACUUGCGCUGGAGCGCAGGUGCAGAAGCGCGCGUUUGCAGGCCACUGCGUUACACUCCACGCUGUUUGAGCGUAUGUCCCGAUGCCGCUUCGCGUUCCAGACGAAGACAGAACCUUUGGUUGAUGCAUUCGGAACUGGCAUCUGGAUAUCCGGGACGUCCAACUGGUUUCGUGAUUACGUCUGGGAGAUAGCACGCUGCUCGCUUGUCCAACUGCCGCGCUAGCAUCCAUUCCCGCCAACAGCACCAUUGAGCGAUUCGUUGGGGCAUAUCGAGACGAGGCCUCCAGGCCUCUGUGUGUGUUGCGAAAUCCCAGUCCGUACGCAGUCUCGCCUCCGGGUCACAGAGGAAAUGCUCGAGGCACACCCCGGCGAACGAAAAGGAAACUGCGUUCAUCGGCUGACCGCGUUCAUCACAUGAUUCCCCAAUGAUCUGCACGAUGGUGUCAACAGAUGCUCAGAUGCAGCGAGUUCACCCGCCGUCGUACGACGGAAGCCCGGGUUUCCUGCAAACCGCGUGUUUGGAAUCAGGACCCGCUCAGAUUCAAAGCAAUGAUGCUCCGUCAAAGGACUCGGGCCCAGAGCGCUGGCACUCAGUCGACUCGUUCGACUCACGUCAUUUCCUGAAACUGGCGACGACGCAUCAGUUGCUCACCGGUUUCCGUGCAGACACCACUCUCUCUACAAAGCUGCUCCAGUUUCGAAACGAUGUCUGUGAACUUUGGUCGACUAGCGGGGUUCAUUUGUGAAGCCGCUGCAUAGAGCGCUUGCAGGCUCGGGUGCGUCUCCGGCGGCAUCGGAAGCACCUCUUCCAGGUAACCGACUCGAUAGACUACCUGGGUCUGCGUCAGAUGCUCCCAGGGCUUGCGUCCAGUCACCAGCUCCCACAGUAUAACACCGAAGGAGAAUAUAUCAGCGCUCUCACUGACCCGGUCCUGGCGAAUGACCUCGGGAGCCAUCCAUUCGGGAGUUCCCGCGAUUCCGGUCGAAAUAUACGACCUGAGCUGCGUCCUGCUGAGUCCAAAGUCAAUGAGCUUCACAUCAAUUUCCGCAAAAUCCUCAUCCGAACGAAUCGGACCGCCAUACACCUGCACGGUGGCCUGCGGCGACGAUAGCGCCGAACGUUGCACCGCGUUCGUGUCCCCGGCACCUUCAUCCUGUAUUGUACUGGUCGCCGAGAACACCAAGCAAUUCGGAGACUUGAGGUCCCGGUGCACGACUAUAGGCCUCUGCGCGUGCAGGUACCGCAUCCCACGCGCUAUUCCCAGGGCAAUGCGUAGAAUCCCACACCAGGGCAGAUGACUCGUCACCACGGUCUCGCCGGUGGGUUCACCCGUAUUCGGAUCAAGUCGUCUCUGGCGACGUUUCUGGAGUAAGCGAUACAGCGUGCCUCCAUGUACGUAUUCGCUCAGGAUGCAAAGAUUCGGAGGCGUGAUACAGGCUCCGAUAAAACGGACA
Molecule: RNA transcript, 2990 nt
Organism: Cyanidioschyzon merolae strain 10D
Lineage: Eukaryota; Rhodophyta; Bangiophyceae; Cyanidiales; Cyanidiaceae
Exons: 1
Source: RefSeq, a predicted model, not a curated record